RNAcentral lists this ribosomal RNA (301 nucleotides) under uncultured bacterium. RNAcentral's name for it is "partial 16S ribosomal RNA". It matches the Rfam family "Bacterial small subunit ribosomal RNA", at positions 509 to 807 of the family's 1533-position model. The record is from RNAcentral.
CAGCCGCCACGGUAAUACGAAGGGGGCUAGCGUUGCUCGGAAUGACUGGGCGUAAGGCGCACGUAGGCGGCUUUGUAAGUAAGAGGUGAAAGCCCAGAGCUCAACUCUGGAAUUGCCUUUUAGACUGCAUCGCUUGAAUCAUGGAGAGGUCAGUGGAAUUCCGAGUGUAGAGGUGAAAUUCGUAGAUAUUCGGAAGAACACCAGUGGCGAAGGCGGCUGACUGGACAUGUAUUGACGCUGAGGUGCGAAAGCGUGGGGAGCAAACAGGAUUAGAUACCCGGGUAGUCCCUGUCUCUUAUAC